CCGCCCACCAUUGAGUCUGUUUCUGACCAAGGUUUCUGCCUGUUAAAAGGAAGUUUUUUCUUGCCACUGUCGCCAAACGCUUGCUCAUGGUCGGAUUUGUUAGGUCACUGUAAAUAAUAUUAUAAAGAUUACAGUCUAGACCUGCUCUACAGGAAAAGUGCAAUGAGAUAACUUCUGUUAUGAAAUGGUGCUAAAAGAUGACUGGUCAAGUUAAAGCACUUGAAGAAAGAACUCAACGAGACGGAUGGGGGGGCCUCAUGAUGCAGGAUCUCUAAGCCAUGAUGUGGAAGUGGUGAAUCAGAAAGGGCUUUUGUGGAUAAAGCUGGGCAAGGUGUAGCUGUCACAAAAGACCCUGAAAGCCACUCUCUAGGACACUUGAACAUGGUUCCGGGAGGCUUCAAUGAGGAUGGGAGCAAGAGCUCAAAGAGACAGGGCAAAAGGAAACCCCAAACCAUACAGGUGAACAAUGUGAAAAAUGCACCGACAGAGCCGCUACAGGGUCUGUUCCUUUUUUGAAGAUUAUUUGAAGGACAGAAGACAAAACUCUCGCUCUGCCGGUGAUCACUACCUCAGUCUGCCUUUCGGAUCAUCCAGAUACCCAUUACCACGCCCCUCUCGCCAUCCGGCCGAUUUCGCCUCCGGAGACUGCCGGCUACCCGCACUACACGCCCGGCUUCAGUGAUCCUCCGCCUGGUCGGCUCAGCCUUCCCGUUACGCUCGCCAGUCCAGAGCCAGCCCACCUUGUCUGCGUCCGGAGCGCCGCCAGUCUCGUCUCCGACCUGGUCUGGUUGAAUCUGACCACGCCGGAUUCUCCGCUAGCUUACAAUUAUCUGCACAAUAAAAAUUGUCCAACUAAACCCAGUUCUGUUCAGUGAGUUUCUGCAUUUGGGUCCUGAAAACAGUCCUAUGACAAUAGGCUAUAUAUCUAUGACAACAUGCAAAGUGCAUUGAUGUAGUGCUCUAUGCAGAAAGCUUGCAAACACAUUGGGUGGUUAACAGUUCAAAUGCAGCACUCAGGCUUUAAAGACCACAAGCUUUUAUUGCCUCCUAGAAAAUAUAGAAUACGCUGGCAUGUAGCUAGAAUGAAUAGAAUAAUUUUGAAUAAUGUAGAGUGCCUCUAUGUACCACAGAAGGGGCUCGAUUUGGCUGAUUACAAUUUAAAAGUAUGUAGCUAUGAAAGAGACAUGAAAUGACAAAAAACACUAUUGUGAUUAUUUACCCAUUAACCAGCAUCAGCACCCUAACGGAAAUGUGAGCCCCCCCCGCAGCUAACCCAGAGUGGGCCCCUUCCUUGCAGAAAAGAGCAGGCGAAAUUUAACACCUUUCAUAGUGAGGAUACUAAAUCAUUUCAAAUGCACAAGAUUUAACAGACCACUUUAGAACACUGGACACAGAUUAUGGAGUUAAUUGUACUGAGUACAUUUUAAACAGUUGGAGCUUUUUAAAGUGUCACAACUACUGUCAAGGUGCUGAUCCUGUGACGGCCAUGAUUGCUGGAGCUGUUCACGGUACUCUGUAUUUGACUCCUCCUCAUUACUCAUUGUCGCAGAGUGCAGGAUUUCAUUAUCAAAAUUAUUGUAAAAAGCCCACCUGCCCACUCAACUCAGAUUGUUACACAAUUGUUAAGCUACUGUGAAGACAGAGCUUUUCCUUUAAGCCAGCAUAUUUUUAAAUCGGUUUUUCAAACAGAAAAAGAUAACAUCAAUUGUGAAUACAUGUACAUUACUAGGACUACAGUAUCUGUUUCUUACAGCACGUAUACUCAGG
Molecule: long non-coding RNA, 1767 nt
Organism: Siniperca chuatsi (mandarin fish)
Lineage: Eukaryota; Metazoa; Chordata; Actinopteri; Centrarchiformes; Sinipercidae
Exons: 5
Source: RefSeq, a predicted model, not a curated record